CUCUUUCUCGAUUCAGUGGAUGGUGGUGCAUGGCCGUUCUUAGUUGGUGGAGUGAUCUGUCUGGUUAAUUCCGAUAACGAACGAGACUCUCCCCUGCUAACUAGUCAGUUGGAUCUUGCUCGGUGAGUUGCGCACCGAGUUCACUCGCGGGCGUGGGUUGCGCGCGUGUGGCUGGCUUCGGUUGGUCAUGCGUGUGUCGCUUGCUGUUCGUGAGCCUCGGACCGUGCACUCCAAGUCCGCUGCUUAUGCUAUAACUCUUCUUAGAGGGAUUCACGGUUCUGAAGCCGUCAGAGACUGAGAGCAAUAACAGGUCUGUGAUGCCCUUAGAUGCUCUGGGCUGCACGCGCGCUACAAUGCCGGGCACAGCAGGUCUUUUCCCUGCUCCGUCAGGAGCGGGUAAUCCUCUGAAAGCCAGUUUGUACUCGUGUCUGACACGAAAGGCGUGCUUGGGCCUGGGACUUGCAAUUCUUUCCCACAAACGAGGAAUGCCUAGUAGCGGCGGGUCACUGAGCCCGCUGUGACUCAGUCCCUGCCCUUUGUACACACCGCCCGUCGCUACUACCGAUUGGGUGUACCAGUGAGAGCCUUGGACUGGCGUCCGUUGCCUUCGGGCAAACGGGUCCGACGGAAAGAGGUCCGAACUGGUGCACUUAGAGGAAGUAAAAGUCGUAACAAGGUUUCCGUAGGUGAACCUGCGGAAGGAUCAA
This 707-nucleotide ribosomal RNA is filed under the name Eogammarus oclairi. Its description in RNAcentral is "bacterial SSU rRNA". It matches the Rfam family "Eukaryotic small subunit ribosomal RNA", at positions 1255 to 1829 of the family's 1831-position model. The record is from RNAcentral. Lineage: Eukaryota; Metazoa; Arthropoda; Malacostraca; Amphipoda; Anisogammaridae.